AAAAACCUAUCCAUGGUUAGAAUAGGUACGUAGAGGAUGCUUGUGAAAUUGUGAUUAAGAGAGCCAAAAUCAAAUUGAGAAUUCCUUAAUCAAUUGAAUUGAAGAAGAGGUGGGAGGAUGGGAUGAGAUGGGAGGCUAGGAUCCAUAGAACGUAUGUAUGCAGAACUAAUUUUUUUUUUUUCAAAAGUGGUUUAGAAAGAUAAAGGAUACAAGGUAUAAAAUAAAAUAAAAUCAAGAAAGUAAAAAUAAGAAAAAAAAAUUGUAAUUAACAAAUUCAGAAAUUUAAAAAUAUUAGAAAUCUUACUUUAAUGAUGUGGGCAUGCCACGUCUGCUGUCAUGUAAGGUGGCCUCUAGGUGGUUCACUAAAAAGGUAGUUCAUCUAGCAUUACUCAAUAAACAACAAGAUUUAACAAGGUUUGGUCAAUUUCCUUGUUUACGUCAUUCGAGAGCUUUCAUCUUCUUUAUGAGAAAAUAACACAAAUACAAUAUACAUCACUCAAGUUUAUACCGAAUCUGAGCCCUUGCAUCCAAAAUGAUACCCCAUUGUUCACCCUCUCCCAACCUAAAAGAUUACUCUACCCCAAGAGCUAUAUAUGUCUUUAAACACAACCCCUCUUAUCUUCUAUAUCUUGGAAGACCCUUAGAGUAUUCUCUAUGAGAGAAUAACACAAGUACAAGAUACAUCACUCAAGUUUAUACCGAAUCUGAGCCCUUGCAUCCAAAACGAUACCCCAUUGUACACCCUUUCCCAACCUAAAAGAUUACUCUACCCCAAGAGCUAUACAUGUCCUUAAACACAACCCCCCUUAUCUUCUACAUCAGUUCUCCAUCUCUUGUUGUGUUCUCUCAUUGAUUGUCUUGUCCUAGAAUAGCAAAUGACCUCUCUAUAUAUAAGUCACGGAGGAAACCCUUAGACUUACUUCAUCAAUGCCCCAUACAAGAAACAACCAUUCAUCUUCCUCAUUAACUUCAUGGGAAGACUAUUCAUGAACCAACCCUCAAUCUCCCUUCUUAAGUACUCCCCAUGAAGGCUAAAAGGUCCAUCAUGAAUAAACUCAUACAUUUAUUCCCAAAUGCAUCAAAUUCCUCAUGUAUUUAUUUCCAAUACAUGUACUUAACUAUGCAUCAAUUACCAUAUAUACAUAAGUGAUCAUCAUGAAUGCACCAACGUUAGUACCAUGCAUAAUAUCUCUCUACCAUAGAGGGAUAGACACCAAACCUGACAGUGGGUUGUUUGUCCACUAUAGUAGUGAAGUUUGUAUGUAGAGUCUAAUAGACUCGGAUGUCUGCGUGUGUAGAUUGGAUCCCGUACUUGAGCUUCGUGUUCAUAUAAUCGACCUACUACUAGCAAAUCUCUCAAUGGUGACGCCAAAAGUUAUUAUCAUCAGAUAAUUUGUGUGAUUUACCAAACAUAACAAGCUACUAUGAAAAUGAAAAAAUGGUGAAAUGCUAUGCUAGAACCCCAAGUAAGACAUGAUUGAGACAAAUUAGAUUGGUAAUUAACAUUUGGAGAAUAUGGCCUGGCCCACGAACAUAUAUAACUUGAAUUAAUGGACGCCUAAGUUAUUACUUCUCAUAAGCUGAUAAGCAUGAUGUCGAUGCCUAGAUUACUUCGAUAUUAUAUGGAGAUAUGCUCUAUCCUGUUCUCUCAGCUGGGAACGGUGUGGUUUUAGAUCGAGUCGAUCACCACAAAGCUCUGGACUCGUGUCAUUCUCUCUGUGUGUGUUCUAACCGCCGACGUGUUGUUAAGAACGUAGCCCUACCUCUCUUGUCAGCAGCGUCUACCCUAUUACGUGUCAGCUCUUCCAUUCCUUGCCCCUCUUCACUCACCUUCCAAGCCCUCCUCUAUAAACCAGGCUUUUCCUCACAAUUUAACUCGUAGUUUGCUAAGUAAAAAACUGCAUAGUAUGUGUUUGUGAAAAGUAAUUUGAACAGGAGUAAGAUUCUGAGAAACCAUGGCACAAUCGACGCAGGACAUGAAGGACCCCCAGAAAAGGGACGAGCUGGAUGAGAGGGCAAGGAAGGGAGAGACUGUCAUUCCUGGUGGAACUCGCGGGAAGAGUCUCGAGGCCCAAGAGCACCUUGCUGAAGGUAAAUACAUAUGAAAAUCAAAUACAUAUGCUAUGUGAUAUAUUUGAUUAAUGUGGUUCGAUUAAUAAACGUUGUGCAUCCUUGCAUGAAUGAAUUAUUAGGACGACGCAAGGGUGGACUGAGCACCACGGACCAGUCCGGAGAAGAGCGUGCUCGCGAGGAAGGCAUUCCUUUAAAUCCUCUCGAGGCCAAGGAAAAGCAAGGCUGACAUCUAUAUAUAUGUUAGAUGAAGACAAACUGGGGUGUUGAACUUGUUGUUUACUCUAACUAGUUUUUUCAUCAGAACUCGAUCGUCCGGAGUCGUAUGUUUGUAGCACAUAUGUUGUUAUGUAGUUGUUUGUUGUCCACUAUAGUAGUGUAGUAUACUAGUAUAUGUUUGUAGAGACUAAUAGACUCGGAUGUCUGCGUGUGUAGAUUGGAUCCCGUACUAGAGCUUCAUGUUCAUAUAAUCGACGGUGACGCCAGAGUUAAUCUAUCAUCAUAUAAUUAAUGUGUGAUUUACCAAACACAACAAGCAACCAUAUGAAAUAAUGGUCAAAUGCUAAAACCCGAAGUAAGACAGGAUCCGGUGCUAACUACUCCAAAUCUCCAAUGGCAACAUAGCUUGAUUUGAUCAAUCAAAGGUUAACCAACUAACUUCACAUUCAAUUACAUCGUGCAUGGUGCUUCAACUUUUACGAGGGUGUUGGUUCCUAGUUCCUACCAAGUGUAAUCCCACCCAUCUCGUGGCUGCGAGCAGUAAAAUUUCGAAGAACCACGUAAAAUGACGUCUAUUACGUCUGGUAUUAGCUUGAAACUUUGAGAUACAAACCUUCCGCUACUAUGGUGUGAUUGUUGAUUUUACUAUGGUGAGAGCUGGCUGGGUAGUGCAUGGCAUGGAGAGAAAAGAUCUACUCAUUCACUCUCAUUGUGGCAUGGCAAGGGACUUGUAGGUCUUCACAACCAGACCGCUAUCAUAAACAUCAAGUAAGCAAGGAGAAGAGUCUCAGCGGAAGUCCUUCUCCCUGUUACCCACCGGGUAAAAUAUUAUGUCAGCGGAAGUUGGAAUUUCUCAGGUGCCAUGAGCUAGCUUCCAGGUCGAGAACAUUAGAAUUUUACGUUCCAUCCUGAAAACACUAUGACUCCACCGAUUAACUGACGCUCCACUGAUAUUACAUUA
RNAcentral lists this long non-coding RNA (3250 nucleotides) under Fragaria vesca (wild strawberry). RNAcentral describes it as "long non-coding RNA (FVES_LNC002835)". The record is from RNAcentral. Lineage: Eukaryota; Viridiplantae; Streptophyta; Magnoliopsida; Rosales; Rosaceae.